This 84-nucleotide transfer RNA is filed under the name Nitrososphaerota archaeon. RNAcentral's name for it is "Thaumarchaeota archaeon tRNA-OTHER". The record is from RNAcentral. Lineage: Archaea; Thermoproteati; Nitrososphaerota.
GGUGGGGUGGCGGAGCGGUUACGCCCCGUCAGUGAGCGCAUUCACGUGGGUCCGAGUGCCGCCCCGGGUCUCCCACCCCCACCU